Molecule: long non-coding RNA, 1014 nt
Filed under: Eutrema salsugineum
Lineage: Eukaryota; Viridiplantae; Streptophyta; Magnoliopsida; Brassicales; Brassicaceae
Description: long non-coding RNA (ESAL_LNC001859)
Source: RNAcentral
AAAAUAAAAAUUGGUCCCGAUUUUCUCUUUUUCUCUUUGUCCUCGUCGUCUCCGUCAUCUUCGUCGCACUAGCUUUCCGUCAUCGGAUUUCGCUGAAUUCAGUUCAGUUUUUCUUGGGUAUUCUUGCUCUUUUCAUUCUGUGUUUCGUCGUCCCUGCUGCAUUGCAUCAUCUUUUUAAGAAUCAAGGUAAUUGCAGAUUUAAUUUCAAUAGGGAUUCAAUUCCUAAAAAUUACCAUCUUCAAUUCAAUAGCAUAAACGUAUGUAGUAAACUUCUUGUCGUUGUCUAAGGGGAGUCUUUGUCUAAGAGAAGCCUACUUUCAUAAUGUAAAGGAUUUGUAGAGAUUAUAGGAGAUUGUGAUGAGGACAUGCAACCUGAACCGGAUUUAACCGAGCCUCAACUCCAAGAUAUCGAAGCUCCAAUAACAAGAGCAAGAGCUAGAGUACUUCAACACAAGUAUAAUCAAAGCCUACAAGCCGCAGCUAAAGAAAUACCAAGGGAAGAUCAGGAGCAACUAGAAGAUUGCCAAGAAGAGACGGCUAACAAGGGCCAUUGUUUACAAGCUUGGGCCGAGACAUUUCAAGAGUUCUCAUCAACCCACAACAGCCCAAAGAACCAGGACGCAUGGCCUCUUUUACCAAGUCAAGCCCAAGUUCAAGUGCUCAUCAUCUCAAGAAUGAAUCAAGACACUUAAAGAGGAACAUUCAAGCUUGGCCAAAGACAAGUUAAAGACACACUAAUCAUGGUCACAAAUAAGGUAAGUCUUUCAUUUCAUUUGACUAACGAAUUUCCUUGUCUUUGUUGUGUUGCAGCCGAGAGAAUAUAGUCCUUUAGCUUAGUACUUUGAAUUUUCCUUUAUAGUUUUCCUUGUUUAUUUUCCUUUGAUGUUGCACCUUUCCUUUUCAAGUCCUGUCGCAUUGAGUCUUUCUCUUUCUCUUGAGUCUAAGCCGCUUGGACAUUAUAUAAGUCCCUUUACGGCCGUGUAAUCUUUUCAACUUUGAUCAUCAAUAAAAUAA